UGAGGAAUAUUGGUCAAUGGGCGGAUGCCUGAACCAGCCAAGCCGCGUGGAGGAAGUAGGCGCAGCGCGUCGUGAACUCCUUUUGCCGGGGAACAGAGCCGCGGUCGUGACCGCGGAGGAGGGUACCCGGAGAAAAAGCAUCGGCUAACUCCGUGCCAGCAGCCGCGGUAAUACGGAGGAUGCGAGCGUUAUCCGGAUUUAUUGGGUUUAAAGGGCGCGCAGGCGGCGUCUCAAGUCGGCGGUGAAAGACCGGGGCUCAACCCCGGCGAGCCGCCGAAACUGGGGUGCUCGAGAGGGCGAGAGGCACGCGGAAUGCGCGGUGUAGCGGUGAAAUGCAUAGAUAUCGCGCAGAACCCCGAUUGCGAAGGCAGCGUGCCUGUGCCUUUCUGACGCUGAGGCGCGAAGGCGUGGGGAUCGAACAGG
This 423-nucleotide ribosomal RNA is filed under the name uncultured bacterium. RNAcentral's name for it is "bacterial SSU rRNA". It matches the Rfam family "Bacterial small subunit ribosomal RNA", at positions 355 to 776 of the family's 1533-position model. The record is from RNAcentral.